GCAGUCGCAGGACGGGCGCUUUGGAGCCGAUCCCAGGUAGUGUGUGUCGGUCGCCUCGUCUGGAGAACUACUCCUCGACUCACGGUGAGGGAAUGGACCGGCACGGGGGUUGUAUCGCUGAGGGAAAGGAGCGGGACUCCGGACCUCCAGGAGUGCAAGGAUGAUGCUGAAAGGAAUAACAAGGCUUAUCUCUAGGAUCCAUAAGUUGGACCCUGGGCGUUUUUUACACAUGGGGACCCAGGCUCGCCAAAGCAUUGCUGCUCACCUAGAUAACCAGGUUCCAGUUGAGAGUCUGAGAGCUAUUUCCCGCACCAAUGAGAAUGACCCGGCCAAGCAUGGGGAUCAGCACGAGGGUCAGCACUACAACAUCUCCCCCCAGGAUUUGAAGACUGUAUUUCCCCAUGGCCUUCCUCCUCGCUUUGUGAUGCAGGUGAAGACAUUCAGUGAAGCUUGCCUGAUGGUAAGGAAACCAGCCCUAGAACUUCUGCAUUACCUGAAAAACACCAAUUUUGCUUACCCGGCUGUACGAUAUCUUCUGUAGCAGUCUGAGCUCAUCCAUCAUGAUUUCUUCAUGAUAUUACUGCCAAGCAGAUUACAAGGUGAAGUCAAUGUGACAAAAGGAAAUUCGGCUAAAAGCUUCCUGAAGCCUUUUGAUGCUAAGCAGUCCUUCUUUUGAUAUUUAAUACCCAUGAGCAUAAACUUCUGCCUUAGAGGUCGCCAUGGAGUUUUGUUUUGUU
This 737-nucleotide small RNA is filed under the name Pongo abelii (Sumatran orangutan). RNAcentral describes it as "processed transcript". Lineage: Eukaryota; Metazoa; Chordata; Mammalia; Primates; Hominidae. The record is from RNAcentral.